UACGAAGGGGGCUAGCGUUGUUCGGAAUCACUGGGCGUAAAGCGCACGCAGGCGGAUUGAUAAGUCAGGGGUGAAAUCCCGGAGCUCAACUUCGGAAUUGCCUUUGAUACUGUCUGUCUUGAGUCCGGGAGAGGUGAGUGGAAUUCCUAGUGUAGAGGUGAAAUUCGUAGAUAUUAGGAAGAACACCAGUGGCGAAGGCGGCUCACUGGCCCGGAACUGACGCUCAUGUGCGAAAGCGUGGGGAGCAAACAGGAUUAGAUACCCCCGUAGUCC
This 273-nucleotide ribosomal RNA is filed under the name uncultured bacterium. RNAcentral's name for it is "partial 16S ribosomal RNA". It matches the Rfam family "Bacterial small subunit ribosomal RNA", at positions 524 to 796 of the family's 1533-position model. The record is from RNAcentral.